RNAcentral lists this ribosomal RNA (585 nucleotides) under Triticum aestivum (bread wheat). RNAcentral's name for it is "partial small subunit ribosomal RNA". Lineage: Eukaryota; Viridiplantae; Streptophyta; Magnoliopsida; Poales; Poaceae. The record is from RNAcentral.
AUGACAGACCAGACACGAACACAAAAUGGCCACGGCGACCUCGCAAAGAAACCGCCCGUCGUCGUCAUCUACUCGCCGCCGGGGAUGGCGGGCCACCUGGUCCCCAUGGCGGAGCUCGGCAAGCUACUCGUGGCGCAGGGCCUCCAGGUCACCGUCCUCCUCAGCGGGGGCUAUACGCCGUUCCUCGAUGGCGUCGCCGCCGCCAACCCGGCGCUGGCCUUCCACUGCCUGCCCCCGGCCGCGCUCGCCCCCGACAUGGCCGUUGCCUGCGGCAGCAGCUUCGAGGCCAGGCUCUUCGAGCUCGCACGCGCCACCAACCCGGACCUGCGCGACUUCCACCGCGCCGCGCGCCCGGCCGCCCUCCUCAUCGACUUCUUCUGCAGCGCCGCGCUCGACGUCGGCGCCAAGCUUCGUGUGCCCACCUACUUCUUCUUAACUGCCUGCGUCGGCAGCGUCGCCUUCGGGCUCUACCACCCGGUCAUCGAUGAGCGUACCUGCCUCAGCUUCCGGGACAUGGGCGGCGACCCCGUGCACGCCCCGGGACUGCCACCCAUACCGGGGCCAUCCAAGAUCGCGAGAGCUUGA